UAAUAAUAAUAAUAAUAAUAAUAAUAAUAAAUUAAUGCCACAAUAAAUUACUUGUGUGAAUAGAAGAUUCGCCCUAGGAGUAGCAUCUCAAUAUUACUCACCAGAAUCGAGCAGUAGUCUGAGGCUAUCCAAGAUGUCACACCUGAAAGUCGGAGAACCGCUGGACCCAGCUGGGAACGCUCUGUCUAUCCUCUCCCAGACACAAGCCCUUCAAAAUCUGUUGUUGCACCAAGUGAAACGCGAGCCAAUGAACCUAGGGUCGACUAGCCCAUUAGUCAUGAGGAACUCCUGAACUUCCUAACUUCAAUCUUAUUAGUGUAGGGCUUCCCCACUCUCUUCUCAUCCGGACCAUCAAUGCGGUUGAAGUCUCCCGCCACCAUCACUCAGAACCCCUGUUGGAUAAGACUCAAUGCCUCAUCCCACAAAACUCUUCUCUCCCUGUAGUCUAUACUGGUAUAGUUGCCAAUAGAACCCAAAGGGGUUCGUUCUCCUCUAAAACUAUCAUGAUCACCUGCUAGUUGCACUUGUGGAAAAUGU
Molecule: long non-coding RNA, 537 nt
Filed under: Phoenix dactylifera (date palm)
Lineage: Eukaryota; Viridiplantae; Streptophyta; Magnoliopsida; Arecales; Arecaceae
Description: long non-coding RNA (PDAC_LNC014510)
Source: RNAcentral